This 64-nucleotide transfer RNA is filed under the name Polycarpa mytiligera. RNAcentral's name for it is "transfer RNA-Phe". The record is from RNAcentral. Lineage: Eukaryota; Metazoa; Chordata; Ascidiacea; Stolidobranchia; Styelidae.
UACAAGAUAUUUUAUAUAAAAUACAGUUCUGAAAAGACUGAGAAAAAGGAUGCUUUUCUUGUAG